AGAAGAGGGAAGACACGUGUGGAAGGAGCUGGUAGACCAUCGGACGGAGUGGACUGGGUUCUGAGGGCCCGAAGAUGCUGUGGUGUUAUUUUACUCGACCACUUCUCACUGAACUUAUAAAAAUUUGAACAUCUCACUGUGAUUCAACAAGAUUUACACCAUCUGCAGAUUUUUGAUCUUCAGUGAGUGUGUCUACAAUCCCUUGUUUCUGAAGCCACAGUGUGUUUCCACUGAGCCACAGCUGACACUUAGGGUCCUACUCCAUAUAAUUGAUGCAGAGUGAGGAGGGACAGCCAUUUUUCUUCUUAACUUUACAACAGAAAAAACAUUUCCCAAGCACAAGGGGGAAAAUUAUUCUUUUUUUUUUCACUCUUGACUCUAAGAUGCACAACACUUAGAUUAGGAUUUCUCUUAUCAGAAAUGCAAACAUGAGCUGACAAACUUCGCUGUUGUUAGACUUCACACAAACACACAAUGAAGCUCGGGAUUUUCUCCUCACUUCCAGAAAUUGUUUUUUUUAACAACAUGUCUCUGGGUCCCAAUAGAUCCACAUCAUCUCCCAAAAUUUGUAAAAACCUAAAAAUGCAGAGGUUUCUACCAGGAAGAUGAUGAAAUUCAAAUUUAUCCUCUUUGAUGUCCUAUUUUAGAUUUUGAAUUUCAGUUUAGUUUAUUGAUGCAUACACCAUAGAUUCAAGCAAGAUAUGACAUGUAGCAUAUUGUAUAAUCUCCUAAGAAUGUCACAGAGGAAACUAUGUACACGCCAAUAAUAAACACAACAAUGUACACAUCAAUGAGAACAAAACACCAGAAUGUGCAAAGAUUAUUGUGCAAUUUAGCAGAAUAAUUUGGAAUCACAGGCACCUAGUCCUAUUGUUUGCAGCUACUGAGCUCAAUUAAUUGACCUUCAUGACUUCUUCAAACUGGAAAUAGUUCUUUGAAUGAAAAAAAAAUAUAAACAUCAUAUUUCAACCUCAGUGGUUAUCUUCCCAUUCAGUCACUGCAUCCCCUAACAAAUGGUUGCAAUAGCUUAGUGUUCAAUGAAGGAACCACUGUUUCUUUGAUCAACUUUCAAAAUUCAGAUCCAUCGAUAACAAAUUACCUUUGACCAUGCUCUCUUUGGUUUGUUCAGGAGUGACUGUGCAGUAUUAUAGGAUGAAGAUCCACCACUAGCCAAUCAGGGUUGCUUGAGAUGGGCUUCAGGCCCUUCUUCAAUGAGAAAGAACGGGCUUCUUCCAAACCUGAGUAUGGAGAUCACCAGCUGGACAUCUGACUGGUCCAAUACUGUGACCUAGCGGUGGAGAGUGAGAUACGACAGAGGCUUUGAUUGGUGGGUUCAGGAUGUUAGAGGAGGAUAACAUCAGGUGAUUGCAUAGCAGUCAGGGACAUUGAGCUGAUGAAUGUUUUUAGAUCUGUAAUCCUUAGAGUGGAGAAGAAUAGUAGAUGACCCUAUUGACACAUAAAAUAUUCUGAGGGCCAGACGUUGAGAUAUGUAUAAACAUCCGGUUAGCCGCCCCGGAGUAUUUUGUGCAUUUCUGAUUGUCAUACUACAGUAAAGCUGAAGAAGUUUUGGAGGAGGUUUACCAGGAUGAGUCUUUAACCCAAGGGGGAAAUAUCAAAUGCAUUCCGGCGGAAAUAGCACAGAAGAAGAGAUGGGGAUUAGGGCAGAUUAGCAAUGAUCGUACUGAGAGUGGUUUGAGGGGCUAAGUGGCCUACCCUGCUUCUAGUUCCUGAUGUGCUCAUGUACCUUGGAUAGAAAAAUGAAUGGUGAUGAUUUGCACAUAUAUAUAUAUUCCUCUGUUUCACAAAUACAACAUAAAAGUGCUUCUGCCUAGAAACUUAAUUG
This is a long non-coding RNA of Hypanus sabinus (Atlantic stingray), 1843 nucleotides long. RefSeq lists it as uncharacterized. Lineage: Eukaryota; Metazoa; Chordata; Chondrichthyes; Myliobatiformes; Dasyatidae. The transcript has 3 exons. The record is from RefSeq and is a predicted model, not a curated record.